RNAcentral lists this ribosomal RNA (614 nucleotides) under uncultured fungus. RNAcentral's name for it is "LSU rRNA". It matches the Rfam family "Eukaryotic large subunit ribosomal RNA", at positions 38 to 667 of the family's 3401-position model. Lineage: Eukaryota; Fungi. The record is from RNAcentral.
GCAUAUCAAUAAGCGGAGGAAAAGAAACCAACCGGGAUUGCCCUAGUAACGGCGAGUGAAGCGGCAACAGCUCAAAUUUGAAAUCUGGCUCUUUUAGAGUCCGAGUUGUAAUUUGCAGAGGGCGCUUUGGCUUUGGCAGCGGUCCAAGUUCCUUGGAACAGGACGUCACAGAGGGUGAGAAUCCCGUACGUGGUCGCUGGCUAUUGCCGUGUAAAGCCCCUUCGACGAGUCGAGUUGUUUGGGAAUGCAGCUCAAAAUGGGAGGUACAUUUCUUCUAAAGCUAAAUAUUGGCCAGAGACCGAUAGCGCACAAGUAGAGUGAUCGAAAGAUGAAAAGCACUUUGGAAAGAGAGUCAAACAGCACGUGAAAUUGUUGAAAGGGAAGCGCUUGCAGCCAGACUUGCUUGCAGUUGCUCAUCCGGGCUUUUGCCCGGUGCACUCUUCUGCAGGCAGGCCAGCAUCAGUUUGGGCGGUAGGAUAAAGGUCUCUGUCACGUACCUCUCUUCGGGGAGGCCUUAUAGGGGAGGCGACAUACUACCAGCCUGGACUGAGGUCCGCGCAUCUGCUAGGAUGCAGGCGUAAUGGCUGUAAGCGGCCCGUCUUGAAACACGGACC